RNAcentral lists this long non-coding RNA (245 nucleotides) under Elaeis guineensis (African oil palm). RNAcentral's name for it is "long non-coding RNA (EGUI_LNC021461)". The record is from RNAcentral. Lineage: Eukaryota; Viridiplantae; Streptophyta; Magnoliopsida; Arecales; Arecaceae.
UCUAUAGUUAAAUAAAGCAAAGAUCUAAUCAUACCUCAAUAUAGCUUGGGAUCUACUGCCUUUUCUUUUAGAUCUUGAUCAAGCUUACAACUUGUGCUCAUAGGGAUGCCACUUCCUUUAACAUUCUCCAUUCCAAAUUUUAUUAAUAUCUCCUUGAUGUAUUUGCUUUAGUUGAUGAAGAUCUCCUCAUUUGAUUGCUUAAUCUGGAGUCUGAGAAAGAAGUUCAGCUCUCCCAUCAUACUCAU